AAGUAUUUAUUUAAAUGUUUAUUUAAAUAUUUUUAAACAAAUAAUAACGUCAAACUUGUUCAUACAACAAAUGUAUAUACGGUGGCUUUUUAAAUUUUGAUUUUAAAAGUGUCAA
This is a non-coding RNA of Plasmodium yoelii, 115 nucleotides long. RefSeq annotates it as Plasmodium RNA of unknown function RUF2. NCBI's taxonomy places the organism in Eukaryota, Apicomplexa, Aconoidasida, Haemosporida, Plasmodiidae. The record is from RefSeq and is a predicted model, not a curated record. The transcript has a single exon.